GAUGAACGCUGGCGGCGUGCCUAAUACAUGCAAGUCGAGCGAACAGAUGAGGAGCUUGCUCCUCUGACGUUAGCGGCGGACGGGUGAGUAACACGUGGAUAACCUACCUAUAAGACUGGGAUAACUUCGGGAAACCGGAGCUAAUACCGGAUAAUAUAUUGAACCGCAUGGUUCAAUAGUGAAAGACGGUUUUGCUGUCACUUAUAGAUGGAUCCGCGCCGCAUUAGCUAGUUGGUAAGGUAACGGCUUACCAAGGCAACGAUGCGUAGCCGACCUGAGAGGGUGAUCGGCCACACUGGAGCUGAGACACGGUCCAGACUCCUACGGGAGGCAGCAGUAGGGAAUCUUCCGCAAUGGGCGAAAGCCUGACGGAGCAACGCCGCGUGAGUGAUGAAGGUCUUCGGAUCGUAAAACUGUGUUAUUAGGGAAGAACAAAUGUGUAAGUAACUAUGCACGUCUUGACGGUACCUAAUCGGAAAGCCACGGCUAACUACGAG
RNAcentral lists this ribosomal RNA (497 nucleotides) under uncultured bacterium. RNAcentral's name for it is "partial 16S ribosomal RNA". It matches the Rfam family "Bacterial small subunit ribosomal RNA", at positions 28 to 507 of the family's 1533-position model. The record is from RNAcentral.